Molecule: ribosomal RNA, 543 nt
Filed under: Pugnaso curtirostris (pug-nosed pipefish)
Lineage: Eukaryota; Metazoa; Chordata; Actinopteri; Syngnathiformes; Syngnathidae
Also listed under: 1 other name
Description: partial 16S ribosomal RNA
Rfam family: Bacterial large subunit ribosomal RNA
Source: RNAcentral
CGCCUCUUGCUAAUUAUGAAUAAGAGGUCCCGCCUGCCCUGUGACUAUGUUUAACGGCCGCGGUAUUCUGACCGUGCAAAGGUAGCACAAUCACUUGUCUUUUAAAUAAAGACCCGUAUGAAUGGCAUCACGAGGGCUUAACUGUCUCCUUCCCUUAGUCAAUGAAAUUGAUCCUCCCGUGCAGAAGCGGGAAUAUAAAUAUAAGACGAGAAGACCCUAUGGAGCUUUAGACUAUUAGCUGAUUUAUGUUAACAAACACAAAUAAAAGAAUGAAACUAAAUAAUAUUCUGCCAAAUGUCUUCGGUUGGGGCGACCACGGGGUAUAAACAAACCCCCGAGAAGAAAAUAUUCCAUGAUCCUAGAACAUCAGUUCUAAGAACCAAAACAUUUGACCUUAAGAUCCGGCAAGACCGAUUAACGAAACGAGUUACCCUAGGGAUAACAGCGCAAUCCUCUUCAAGAGUCCAUAUCGACAAGAGGGUUUACGACCUCGAUGUUGGAUCAGGACAUCCUAAUGGUGCAGCAGCUAUUAAGGGUUCGUUU